GACGAACGCUGGCGGCGUGCUUAACACAUGCAAGUCGAACGGAAAGGCCCCUUUUGGGGUACUCGAGUGGCGAACGGGUGAGUAACACGUGAGUAACCUGCCCUUGACUUCGGGAUAACUUCAGGAAACUGGGGCUAAUACCGGAUAGGAAUCCUUGCUGCAUGGUGGGGGUUGGAAAGCUUCGGCGGUUUUGGAUGGACUCGCGGCUUAUCAGCUUGUUGGUGGGGUAGUGGCUUACCAAGGCUUUGACGGGUAGCCGGCCUGAGAGGGCGACCGGCCACAUUGGGACUGAGAGACGGCCCAGGCUCCUACGGGAGGCAGCAGGGGGGAAGAUUGCACAAUGGGCGGAAGCCGGAUGCAGCAACUCCGCGUGCGGGAUGACGGCCUUCGGGUUGUAAACCGCUUUCAGCAGGGGCGAUGCUUGUGGUGACGGUACCUGCAGAAGAAGCACCGGCUAACUACGUG
Molecule: ribosomal RNA, 465 nt
Filed under: uncultured bacterium
Lineage: Bacteria
Description: partial 16S ribosomal RNA
Rfam family: Bacterial small subunit ribosomal RNA
Source: RNAcentral